GAUUAUUCACUUCCCGAGGGGCUCGCAGCCCAUCAGCUUGUUGGUGAGGGUAACGGCCCACCAAGGCGACAACGGGUAGCUGGUCUGAGAGGAUGGUCAGCCACACUGGAACUGAGACACGGUCCAGACACCUACGGGUGGCAGCAGUCGAGAAUCAUUCGCAAUGGGGGAAACCCUGACGAUGCGACGCCGCGUGGAGGAUGAAGGCCUUAGGGUUGUAAACUCCUGUCAAGAGGGAAUAAGCAAGUGAAGGUACCUCUAGAGGAAGGGGCGGCUAAUUCCGUGCCAGCAGCCGCGGUAACACGGAAGCCCCGAGCGUUGUUCGGAUUCAUUGGGCGUAAAGGGUGCGUAGGCGGCGCGGAAAGUCCGGCGUGAAAGGCAGAGGCUCAACCUCUGGACUGCGUUGGAUACUUCCGUGCUUGAGGACUGGAGGGGAGACUGGAAUUCACGGUGUAGCAGUGAAAUGCGUAGAUAUCGUGAGGAAGACCGGUGGCGAAGGCGAGUCUCUGGACAGAUCCUGACGCUGAGGCACGAAGGCUGGGGGAGCGAACAGGAUUAGAUACCCUGGUAGUCCCAGCAGUAAACGAUGUGAGCUUGAUGUGGGGGGAUUCGACCCCUUCCGUGUCGAAGCUAACGCGAUAAGCUCACCGCCUGAGGAGUACGGCCGCAAGGCUAAAACUCAAAGAAAUUGACGGGGACCCGCACAAGCGGUGGAGUAUGUGGCUUAAUUCGAUGCAACGCGAAGAACCUUACCUGGCCUUGACAUGCAUUGUGUCGUCGGUGAAAGCCGGCUAGUCCUGGAAACAGGACGCUUUGCACAGGUGCUGCAUGGCUGUCGUCAGCUCGUGUCGUGAGAUGUUGGGUUAAGUCCCGCAACGAGCGCAACCCUUGUGGUCAGUUACUAACCGGCUUAGCCGGAGGACUCUGGCCAGACUGCCCUGUCAAACGGGGAGGAAGGUGGGGACGACGUCAAGUCAGUAUGGCCCUUAUGGCCAGGGCUGCACACGUACUACAAUGCCCGAUACAAUGUGAACCGAAACCGCGAGGUGGAGGAAAUCGCUCUUGAAAACCGGGCCCAGUUCGGAUUGGAGUCUGCAACUCGACUCCAUGAAGUCGGAA
This 1119-nucleotide ribosomal RNA is filed under the name uncultured organism. Its description in RNAcentral is "bacterial SSU rRNA". It matches the Rfam family "Bacterial small subunit ribosomal RNA", at positions 209 to 1331 of the family's 1533-position model. The record is from RNAcentral.